UGCUCGCGCAUCGAACUACAAACCACCUGUCCUUCUCAGUUGCUUCACGAGCAAUGAUAUGCUCGCUGACUAGAUCCGGGGCUUGUGUUGCGUACCUAACAGAAGGAAUUGUUGAGUUUGGCUUACAACGUUGUUCGUGGCUUCUCCUUUGCCGGGGAAGCCGCGAUCACAAAAGCCGGCGCUUGUGAUCCUUGCUCCUUGGCAUCAAAUGCCUUGCUUGCACAGGCGAAUAAGCCGUCGGCCGAAAUUUCGGAUGCGGAACGGUUAUGGAUGGUGACUCGAAGCAAUUCAGUCCCACCAAAUCACACUGACCCAAAAGAUGACGGCCAAGUCCCCGUCCGUUCUCUCUUACCUAGCGUUUGAGAGAAUCAGGCGGGGGCUUGCCCUGAUUUAGAGAUGCUACCAGGU
RNAcentral lists this unclassified non-coding RNA (408 nucleotides) under Hilliella hunanensis. RNAcentral describes it as "partial miscellaneous RNA". Lineage: Eukaryota; Viridiplantae; Streptophyta; Magnoliopsida; Brassicales; Brassicaceae. The record is from RNAcentral.